This 500-nucleotide long non-coding RNA is filed under the name Dendronephthya gigantea. RNAcentral's name for it is "uncharacterized LOC114525167". The record is from RNAcentral. Lineage: Eukaryota; Metazoa; Cnidaria; Anthozoa; Malacalcyonacea; Nephtheidae.
AACUUUUUUGAGUUAAGACGAGGAUAAACUUAAUGAAUCCAUACUGUGAGCGGAUAGGGAAACUGAUAAAAAAGCUGGCGAUAUUUUGUGCCUGACUCAACAUAUUUUUCACUGGAAGAAUUGAACACGCUUUGGCAACAAUAAGGUUUAAACGAUGACUGGAGUAAUGAACAUGCAACGCCUUCGGGUUUUUCUCUAAUAUUCUCCCAGAAAUACCUUUUACCUGGCUGGACACAGCACUAGCACCGUCAUAUCCCAGGCCUCGACAAUUUUGAAGGGAAGCCCGACAUCUUGAAGUGUACUUUGACUAAUGAACGGAAUCAAAUCCAAAGGCGAAACAGUUCGGUAUACAAAUGAAAAUGUUCUUGAAUCAUGUAAAACUUCAAAUUUAUUCAAGAAUGUAUUAAAUUAUCCAGAAAGUAUAAGCUUGGAGUUAUCAUUAAAAAGUGCCUUGCACCAGAUAUUUUCAAUAAUUAGCUAUCGAGACCAUCCUCAGUUGU